This 232-nucleotide ribosomal RNA is filed under the name uncultured bacterium. RNAcentral's name for it is "partial 16S ribosomal RNA". It matches the Rfam family "Bacterial small subunit ribosomal RNA", at positions 99 to 334 of the family's 1533-position model. The record is from RNAcentral. RNAcentral also lists the same sequence under 1 other name.
CGGACGGGUGAGUAAUGUCUGGGAAACUGCCUGAUGGAGGGGGAUAACUACUGGAAACGGUAGCUAAUACCGCAUAAUGUCGCAAGACCAAAGAGGGGGACCUUCGGGCCUCUUGCCAUCGGAUGUGCCCAGAUGGGAUUAGCUAGUAGGUGGGGUAACGGCUCACCUAGGCGACGAUCCCUAGCUGGUCUGAGAGGAUGACCAGCCACACUGGAACUGAGACACGGUCCAG